This 519-nucleotide ribosomal RNA is filed under the name uncultured bacterium. Its description in RNAcentral is "partial 16S ribosomal RNA". It matches the Rfam family "Bacterial small subunit ribosomal RNA", at positions 28 to 507 of the family's 1533-position model. The record is from RNAcentral.
GACGAACGCUGGCGGCGUGCCUAAUACAUGCAAGUCGAGCGAGUCUGCCUUGAAUAUCGGAGUGCUUGCACUCUGUGAAACAAGAUACAGGCUAGCGGCGGACGGGUGAGUAACACGUGGGUAACCUGCCCAAGAGAUCGGGAUAACACCUGGAAACAGAUGCUAAUACCGGAUAACAACAGAUGAUGCCUAUCAACUGUUUAAAAGAUGGUUCUGCUAUCACUCUUGGAUGGACCUGCGGUGCAUUAGCUAGUUGGUAGGGUAACGGCCUACCAAGGCGAUGAUGCAUAGCCGAGUUGAGAGACUGAUCGGCCACAUUGGGACUGAGACACGGCCCACACUCCUACGGGAGGCAGCAGUAGGGAAUCUUCCACAAUGGACGCAAGUCUGAUGGAGCAACGCCGCGUGAGUGAAGAAGGGUUUCGGCUCGUAAAGCUCUGUUGUUGGUGAAGAAGGACAGGGGUAGUAACUGACCUUUGUUUGACGGUAAUCAAUUAGAAAGUCACGGCUAACUACGUG